GAUGGAGGCUGGAGCGGGGAGGCCAUGAGACAGCAGAGCACUGGUAAACACCAUGCAGAAAAGCCGUAUUGUGGGGUUACAAAGUCUGGGCUGUUUAAGGAGCUCUGUCAUUCCUUUUAAUGGAGCUCACUGACGCAGGUCUGGGUUCUGCCAGCCGAGGAAAUACUGCUGCUGAGAAAAGGGUUAUUGAAACCCACAAACUAAAUAUUAUAAGCAAGAAUCAAAUGGCAGGACAUUCUGGAGUGUAAUCCCUCCUGAUUUCAGGAGAAGGGGAAUGUAUUGGCAUGGAAUGAAGCUCCCUCCAGUCACCUGCCGCAAGACACAUUAUCCAGCUUCCUAACCUUAAGGAUGAGACCCUAUCAAUAUUGCCUCUGCUUUUGUGAUCAGGGUAGUAGUGCAAUAUUGCUUAUAGGGUCUUUUCUUUUGAGGGUUAUUCUUCAUGGAGAGAAGAAAGCCACAUCAGGAAAAACUAAUCCUAUGUGCCCACCGAGUUAAGGGAAAAGUUGUGAAAUGCUGAGCGUUGUUAGAUAGGCGAGUAAUUGUGCAGAGAUGUUAUUUGUGACAAAUAAUCGUGCUAUUCUGGUGACUCAGGUUGUGAGUAAUGGGUAUGUUUCUGAUGCUAUCGCACAGGAUUCAAAACGGCCUCGUGUUUUAAACACAUAAGCAGUGAUUGAAACCAGAGAAACCCAUCAGGGCUCCUUUUCAAAAUACUAUGAGUCCCGAGACAUUUGAAGGGUGCCUAUAUUACAUACUGAUGUAAACACCCACCAAGGGAUGGGAGGAGAUACAUUGCCAUACUUGCUGUUUCCGUGCCUGAUCCCAGCCCGAAAACGAGUGCGAUGCGAAGCAGAGCACAGCACAAAGAGGCCGAGGCUCUAAUCUCA
Long non-coding RNA from Chiroxiphia lanceolata (lance-tailed manakin), 884 nucleotides. RefSeq lists it as uncharacterized. The record is from RefSeq and is a predicted model, not a curated record. Lineage: Eukaryota; Metazoa; Chordata; Aves; Passeriformes; Pipridae. The transcript is spliced from 3 exons.